GAACAAGGUUUUAAGGGCAGCAAAGGAGAAAUUGGUGAAAAGGGUGAACAAGGAGAAAAAGGAAAUCCAGGUGUGGCGGGCAUUAACGGACAAGAUGGUUUGAAAGGUGACUCGGGUCCUCAUGGUCCACCUGGCCUAAAAGGAGAAAAG
Molecule: long non-coding RNA, 150 nt
Organism: Hipposideros armiger (great roundleaf bat)
Lineage: Eukaryota; Metazoa; Chordata; Mammalia; Chiroptera; Hipposideridae
Exons: 3
Source: RefSeq, a predicted model, not a curated record